GAUGAACGCUGGCGGCGUGCCUAAUACAUGCAAGUCGAGCGAACGGACGAGAAGCUUGCUUCUCUGAUGUUAGCGGCGGACGGGUGAGUAACACGUGGAUAACCUACCUAUAAGACUGGGAUAACUUCGGGAAACCGGAGCUAAUACCGGAUAAUAUUUUGAACCGCAUGGUUCAAAAGUGAAAGACGGUCUUGCUGUCACUUAUAGAUGGAUCCGCGCUGCAUUAGCUAGUUGGUCAGGUAACGGCUUACCAAGGCAACGAUGCAUAGCCGACCUGAGAGGGUGAUCGGCCACACUGGAACUGAGACACGGUCCAGACUCCUACGGGAGGCAGCAGUAGGGAAUCUUCCGCAAUGGGCGAAAGCCUGACGGAGCAACGCCGCGUGAGUGAUGAAGGUCUUCGGAUCGUAAAACUCUGUUAUUAGGGAAGAACAUAUGUGUAAGUAACUGUGCACAUCUUGGCGGUACCUAAUCAGAAAGCCACGGCUAACUACGUG
RNAcentral lists this ribosomal RNA (497 nucleotides) under uncultured bacterium. Its description in RNAcentral is "partial 16S ribosomal RNA". It matches the Rfam family "Bacterial small subunit ribosomal RNA", at positions 28 to 507 of the family's 1533-position model. The record is from RNAcentral.